CUACGGGAUGCUCCAGUGGGGAAUAUUGGGCAAUGGGCGCAAGCCUGACCCAGCAACGCCGCGUGAGGGAAGAAUGUCUUCGGAUUGUAAACCUCUGUCCUUGGGGACGAAAAAAAUGACGGUACCCAAGGAGGAAGCUCCGGCUAACUACGUGGCCAGCAGCCGCGGUAAUACGUAGGGAGCAAGCGUUGUCCGGAAUUAUUGGGCGUAAAGGGUGCGUAGGCGGCGCUGUAAGUCAGAUGUGAAAUCCCCGGGCUUAACUCGGGAGUUGCAUUUGAAACUACAGUGCUUGAGUAAAGAAGGGGUAAGUGGAAUUCCUAGUGUAGCGGUGGAAUGCGUAGAUAUUAGGAGGAACACCAGUGGCGAAGGCGACUUACUGGUCUUUUACUGACGCUGAGGCACGAAAGCGUGGGGAGCAAACAGGAUUAGAUACCCUCGUAGUC
RNAcentral lists this ribosomal RNA (443 nucleotides) under uncultured bacterium. RNAcentral's name for it is "partial 16S ribosomal RNA". It matches the Rfam family "Bacterial small subunit ribosomal RNA", at positions 339 to 795 of the family's 1533-position model. The record is from RNAcentral.